GCGGGAAAACGGCCGUGAGGUUCAUAACCAAAAGACCCAAGGCUCAUAACCUGAAGGCCGCAGGUUCAAAUCCUGCCCCCGCA
This 83-nucleotide transfer RNA is filed under the name Ensifer sp. ENS09. RNAcentral describes it as "tRNA-Leu". The record is from RNAcentral. Lineage: Bacteria; Pseudomonadati; Pseudomonadota; Alphaproteobacteria; Hyphomicrobiales; Rhizobiaceae. RNAcentral also lists the same sequence under 1 other name.